AUCAGCUCCCCAGCCCCACCCCCACCGCACUCGGCGUGGAAUGCUUUUAUUGGUGAAAUACGCUUAGUGAGCACAGCGGGCUGCACAGCUUUGGUCUCUUUGCAAAGCCGGUGGUAGAAUCAAGGCAGCGCUGUGGAAGGAAGAGUAGGGAUGGGAAAGGAAGAAGGAAGCAAACAGAGGAGAGAGGCUUUCAGUGUCCAGCUGUGUGCGUGCAAAAGCAACCUGAGGCCAGCAGUGAACUGGAUGCCGCUAUGUGUCAGGAUGGCUUCCGGGGAGACUUCAUUUCCUGAAGAAGUGGAGAAUGGAUUUUGUCUGCGGGUCCUCCGGACGAUUCAUAUCAGGGCUACACUUCCUUCUCCUGCCACUGUAAAAACGGACUGA
This 381-nucleotide long non-coding RNA is filed under the name Fukomys damarensis (Damara mole-rat). RNAcentral describes it as "lncRNA (ENSFDAG00000024792.1)". Lineage: Eukaryota; Metazoa; Chordata; Mammalia; Rodentia; Bathyergidae. The record is from RNAcentral.